CAACAAUGGGAUCUAUAUUAUUUAGCAUUAGUCUUCCUAUUAUCUUUCUUAUCUCCUAUAUUUCUAUCAUUAUUCGUCUAAACUCUAAAUGGUCAUUAAGCACAUGUACUCAACUUUUAAACACUAACAGUGGUAUGGUGUUUUGGUUUAACCUUCUAUUUAAAUGACCAUUUUACCCGUUUAAGUGAUCGCCUUGUCUGAGGCUAAAAGAUAUGUAACUGAUUGUUUGUCAUUUGAUGUUAGGAUCUAGUACUAAUUAAUUUUGCCUCCGUUUAACUACUUGUUUUACUGUGAUUCUUUUCCUGGCCAAAGAAAUAGAUUGAUCAGGUAAAGGUUAGGGGCUUGAGAAUAAUUAAUUUCUCUUUAUUUUUUUCUGGUUUUUUUGUCGUAAAUGUUUAUUUUGGUGCUACGUACACCUUUGUCAUAUAAUAUUUUGACACACAUGAUUGUUUUUGAUUUGCAUGCCCCCCUAUGUUUAAAUCCUGGCUCCGCCCUGGCUGUUGGAUCACAAUAAUCACGUGAACCUUUGCACAUGUCUCAUCCCAUUAUAUUGUUUGACAUUCCUGUGGGCUUAAGGUUUUGUUCGGUUGUGGAAUAAGAGAUGGGGACACGUGUUCCUGCUCUAUAUUUGGUUGGAAGGACGAAAAUGAAGAGGCACCAUUAUUUGUGAUCCAUUAAACAUCUGUUAAUUAAUAAGUGCGCCACAUGUCAUUCAUCCACAUCAUCCUCUUCUUCUUUUUUUUCACAUGGUCAGCCAACUGUACUCAAUCGUCCCGUCCUACCUACAGCUGUAGGGCACGACUGAGCUCAGACCGGGGGCAGUGGCGGAGGGAGGAAUAAUUUUCAGGUGUCACUACGUGAAAAAAGCACUAUGAGAACGCCACCCCCCUCCACUCUAAAUGGUCAUUAAGCACGUGUACUCAACUUUUAAACACUAACAGUGGUAUGGUGUUUUGGUUUAACCUUCUAUUUAAAUGACCAUUUUACCCGUUUAAGUGAUCGCCUUGUCUGAGGCUAAAAGAUAUGUAACUGAUUGUUUGUCAUUUGAUGUUAGGAUCUAGUACUAAUUAAUUUUGCCCCCGUUUAACUACUUGUUUUACUGUGAUUCUUUUCCUGGCCAAAGAAAUAGAUUGAUCAGGUAAAGGUUAGGGGCUUGAGAAUAAUUAAUUUCUCUUUAUUUUUUUCUGGUUUUUUUGUCACAAAUGUUUAUUUUGGUGCUAUGUACACCUUUGUCAUGGAAUAUUUUGACACACAUGAUUGUUUUUGAUUUGCACGCCCUCCUAUGUUUAAAUCCUGGCUCCGCCCCUGGCUGUUGGAUCACAAUAAUCACGUGAACCUUUGCACAUGUCUCAUCCCAUUAUAUUGUUUGACAUUCCUGUGGGCUUAAGGUUUUGUUCGGUUGUGGAAUAAGAGAUGGGGACACGUGUUCCUGCUCUAUAUUUGGUUGGAAGGACGAAAAUGAAGAGGCACCAUUAUUUGUGAUCCAUUAAACAUCUGUUAAUUAAUAAGUGCGCCACAUGUCAUUCAUCCACAUCAUCCUCUUCUUCUUUUUUUUCCACAUGGUCAGCCAACUGUACUCAAUCGUCCCGUCCUACCUACAGCUGUAGGGCACGACUGAGCUCACACCGGGGGCAGUGGCGGAGGGAGGAAUAAUUUUCAGGUGUCACUACGUGAAAAAAGCACUAUGAGAACGCCACCCCCCUCCACUGUAGAGGCAGCUA
This 1721-nucleotide long non-coding RNA is filed under the name Sorghum bicolor (sorghum). Its description in RNAcentral is "long non-coding RNA (SBIC_LNC002418)". The record is from RNAcentral. Lineage: Eukaryota; Viridiplantae; Streptophyta; Magnoliopsida; Poales; Poaceae.